GAGGUCUUGGCUUAAAUUAAAGCGUUUGAGUUGCAAUCAGAAGAUGUAUUGUUAUACAGGCCUUCAGAA
This 69-nucleotide transfer RNA is filed under the name Cyrtodactylus taynguyenensis. RNAcentral's name for it is "tRNA-Ala". It matches the Rfam family "tRNA". Rfam says of the family: Transfer RNA (tRNA) molecules are approximately 80 nucleotides in length. Their secondary structure includes four short double-helical elements and three loops (D, anti-codon, and T loops). The record is from RNAcentral. Lineage: Eukaryota; Metazoa; Chordata; Lepidosauria; Squamata; Gekkonidae.